GGGAGGUAAAAGGGCUAAGUGAGCAGUGUGAAUACUCCUUGGUCUCCUGAAUGCCUUGGUUCUCAACUAUAUUAGGGAGCAGUUACUAACAUGUGAAUAAUAAGCCUCAGGUUAAGACAAUAAUCAGGAAUUCACAUCUUGAAGGAAAAGAGGGUGGCAAGGUUCCAGAGAUAUAUAAAAGGACUGGGAUAAGGCAGACUCAGUGAUUCCCUGUGUGUGCUGUAAGCAGAGGAAAAGGCAGAGAUCUGAAGUUGAAGAAAACAACUCAGAAGAAACAAAGGAGCAUGAAGCUCACAAGCUCUAUUGCGUAGAUGAGGCUGCUGAGAACUUCAGGAGGAAGCUCCAAGAAACCACGAUUCAUUUGUGGAGGAAAACUGGGAAAGUUGUUGAGUGGAGGGCUAAUGAGAAGAUGAAAUUUGC
This 420-nucleotide long non-coding RNA is filed under the name Phascolarctos cinereus (koala). RNAcentral's name for it is "lncRNA (ENSPCIG00000034727.1)". The record is from RNAcentral. Lineage: Eukaryota; Metazoa; Chordata; Mammalia; Diprotodontia; Phascolarctidae.